UAUACAUUUAUACGUGUGUGUAUAUAUGUGUGUUUUUUUCAUAAAAAUAUUUCAUUUUCAAUAUAUGUUCUAUUGUGUGUAGAUAAAAUUUGUCAGUACGUGUAUACUUUUUCUGUAGUUGGCUUUGUAUAUUUUUACAUUACCGCAAGUGUUUGAAUAUAUUUACGAUUGUAUGUAUAUUUUCUCAUUUGUUGGUUUGUGGGUGCAUAUCAUAGCUGGCUUUUGAAAAUUUUUACAUUGCGGCAGGUGUUUGUUUAUAUACGUGUAGUUGAUUGUAUUUUUUUAAAUUUGAAUUUGUUUUUGUGGAAAAAAAUUUGUUUGAGCAAGUGUUUUUUGUGUGACGUAAUGGUUGGCGAUCCUGUUGAAAAUCGAUCAAUAAAAAUCACACAGCAGGACAAUACUCUCAGCAUUAUUUCAGAUCUACAUCGCUCAUUUGACACACUUCAAUAUCCUCUAAUAUUUUGACAAGGACAGGACGAAUAUCAUAUAAAUAUAUGAAUUUUAAUACAAACUAUACAUUUUAUAACUAUAUUCCUAGCAAAGCGUGCCCGGGUUUACUAGUAUGUAUUUAUAUGAAUAUUUGUGUAAGAUGAAGGCGUAUUUGAGACAGAUACGAUAAAACUGACCAGAGUGCCUAAUGAACUUGCCCCAAAGUUAUUAAGUGACAAAACACUACUAAAAAAGAAAGGGAAAGCUACGAAGAAUAUGUUAAGAUGUCAAAAUUUGUGUAGUCAAGUGGAUGGAUAACCGUUCCGUAUUAAUAGCCUCAACAUCGGAUGCAUCCCUUCCUCUCCAAUCCGCUAGACAAUGGGAUAAAGUGGGUUAAAUGUAUAUUAGAUUCAAUGCAUGGGAGGAGUAAUCCGCUAGACAAUGGGAUAAAGUGCGUAAAAUGUGUAUUAGAUUCAAUGCAUAGAAGGAGUUGAGUUAGCGUACAGAUAUAUAUCAUACUAUAGAAUUUCUAUUCGCACCAAAAAAAUGGCAUUUGAAGGCAUUUGGUCGAUCUUAAACCAUGCAACUCAUGGGUAAAGUACAGCGAAAAGAAUAUCAAUUAGAGAAUAAAGAUGAACCAUUGCAAAAGAAAACAAAAUGGAACCUCAGACACCGAAAGUAGUAAGUGUACGA
Zeugodacus cucurbitae (melon fly) is the source of this 1122-nucleotide long non-coding RNA. RefSeq lists it as uncharacterized. The record is from RefSeq and is a predicted model, not a curated record. NCBI's taxonomy places the organism in Eukaryota, Metazoa, Arthropoda, Insecta, Diptera, Tephritidae. The transcript is spliced from 2 exons.